GGGGUUGUAGUUUAACCAGGUAGAAUACGUGGUUCCAAACCAUGAGAUUUGGGUUCAAAUCCCAGCUACCCCA
RNAcentral lists this transfer RNA (73 nucleotides) under archaeon. RNAcentral's name for it is "tRNA-Trp". It matches the Rfam family "tRNA". From Rfam's summary of the family: Transfer RNA (tRNA) molecules are approximately 80 nucleotides in length. Their secondary structure includes four short double-helical elements and three loops (D, anti-codon, and T loops). Further hydrogen bonds mediate the characteristic L-shaped molecular structure. tRNAs have two regions of fundamental functional importance: the anti-codon, which is responsible for specific mRNA codon recognition, and the 3' end, to which the tRNAs corresponding amino acid is attached (by aminoacyl-tRNA synthetases). tRNAs cope with the degeneracy of the genetic code in two manners: having more than one tRNA (with a specific anti-codon) for a particular amino acid; and 'wobble' base-pairing, i.e. permitting non-standard base-pairing at the 3rd anti-codon position. The record is from RNAcentral.